Gopherus flavomarginatus (Mexican gopher tortoise) is the source of this 711-nucleotide non-coding RNA. The record is from the annotation of a RefSeq genome assembly. NCBI's taxonomy places the organism in Eukaryota, Metazoa, Chordata, Testudines, Testudinidae.
AUGGAAGAGACCUCUGUCUCCUGCUGCAAAGCCCAAGUGGAUCAGAGCCCCCAGUCGCUUGUUACUGGGGAAGGGAAGGUCUCUACCACGUCCUGCGCUUUCACCGGCAAGUACCAAACCUUCCACUGGUACCAGCAGUUCCCUGGGCGAGGCCUGACCUACCUGCUGUCCGUCAGCCCUCAGGAGAAUGCUACCGAGCAGCGCUUCGUGGGACAGCCCCUGGAAGAUGGGAAACGCAGCUUUCUGUACAUCACCGACUCCCAGCUGGAGGACUCAGGCAGCUACCUCUGUGCGACCUUCCACGGAUUGACUCUGCCUCGGAAUAUUCCUCUGCCAGGGAGAGAAGAAACGGAGCUCGCCAUGGGCUCGGAGAGAGGAGCUGCUCUGUGGAGCCUUCUCCUCAGCUUUGCGUUUCUCUUCUCCUGCUGCGAAGCCCAAGUGGUUCAGAGUCCUGAGUUGCUGGUUACUGGGGAAGGGAAGGUCUCCACCAUGUCCUGCUCCUUCACCAGCGCUUACCAAACCUUCCAGUGGUACCAGCAGCUGCCUGGGCAAGGGCCGACCUAUCUGCUGACUGUGAGCUCUAAUGAGAAUGCCACUGUGGGGCGGUUCAUAGGCGAGCGCUUGGAAAGUGGGAAACGCAGCUCCCUGCACAUCACCGACUCCCAGCUGCGGGACUCAGGCAGCUACCUCUGUGCGGUGGAUACACAGUGA